RNAcentral lists this ribosomal RNA (426 nucleotides) under uncultured bacterium. RNAcentral's name for it is "partial 16S ribosomal RNA". It matches the Rfam family "Bacterial small subunit ribosomal RNA", at positions 354 to 796 of the family's 1533-position model. The record is from RNAcentral.
GUGAGGAAUUUUCCGCAAUGGGCGAAAGCCUGACGGAGCAAUGCCGCGUGAAGGAUGAAGGCCUAUGGGUUGUAAACUUCUUUUCUCAGAAAAGAAUUAUGACGGUAUCUGAGGAAUAAGCAUCGGCUAACUCUGUGCCAGCAGCCGCGGUAAGACAGAGGAUGCAAGCGUUAUCCGGAAUGAUUGGGCGUAAAGCGUCUGUAGGUUGUUUAAAAAGUAUUCUGUCAAAGAUUAGGGCUUAACCCUAGAUAGGAAGAAUAAACUUUUAAGCUAGAGGUUGGUAGAGGCAGAGGGAAUUCCCGGUGGAGCGGUGAAAUGCGUAGAUAUCGGGAGGAACACCAAAGGCGAAGGCACUCUGCUGGGCCAAUACUAACACUGAGAGACGAAAGCGAGGGGAGCAAAUGGGAUUAGAUACCCCUGUAGUCC